UAAAGCUCCGGCGGAGACGGAUUGGCUCGCGUGACAUUAGCUGGACGGCGGGGUAACGGCCCACCGUGGCAACGAUGUCUAGGGGUUCUGAGAGGAAGGUCCCCCACACUGGAACUGAGACACGGUCCAGACUCCUACGGGAGGCAGCAGUGAGGAAUAUUGGUCAAUGGGCGAGAGCCUGAACCAGCCAUGCCGCGUGAAGGACGAGUGCCCUACGGGCGUUAAACUUCUUUUGUGCGGGAGCAAUAAGGGCCACGCGUGGCCUGAUGAGAGUACCGCACGAAUAAGCAUCGGCUAACUCCGUGCCAGCAGCCGCGGUAAUACGGGGGAUGCGAGCGUUAUCCGGAUUUAUUGGGUUUAAAGGGUGCGUAGGCGGCGCUUCAGGUCAGCGGUGAGAUACCGGGGCUCAACCCCGGGGCUGCCGUUGAAACCGGAGCGCUAGAAUUCCGAUGCCGUCGGAGGAAUGUGUGGUGUAGCGGUGAAAUGCAUAGAUAUCACACAGAACACCGAUUGCGAAGGCAUCUGACGAAUCGGAGAUUGACGCUGAUGCACGAAAGCGUGGGUAUCGAACAGGAUUAGAUACCCUGGUAGUCCACGCUGUAAACGAUGAUGACUAGCCGUCGGCGAUACAGUGUCG
RNAcentral lists this ribosomal RNA (637 nucleotides) under uncultured bacterium. Its description in RNAcentral is "bacterial SSU rRNA". It matches the Rfam family "Bacterial small subunit ribosomal RNA", at positions 202 to 839 of the family's 1533-position model. The record is from RNAcentral.